RNAcentral lists this ribosomal RNA (253 nucleotides) under uncultured archaeon. RNAcentral's name for it is "partial 16S ribosomal RNA". It matches the Rfam family "Archaeal small subunit ribosomal RNA", at positions 474 to 724 of the family's 1478-position model. The record is from RNAcentral.
UCCCGACAGUCCGAGUCGCAGCCAUCAUUAUUGGGUCUAAAACAUCCGUAGCUUGUCUGUUAAGUUUCUUGUGAAAUUUCAUGUCUCAAGCAUGAAGCGUGCAGGAAAUACUGGCAGACUAGAGACCGGGAGAUGUGAAGAGUACAUCCAAGGUAGUAGUAAAAUACGUUAAUCUUGGAUGGACUAACAAUUUGGCGAAGGCACUUCACAAGCACGGAUCUGACAGUGAGGGAUGAAGGCUAAGGGCGCGAAA